Molecule: long non-coding RNA, 487 nt
Filed under: Sorghum bicolor (sorghum)
Lineage: Eukaryota; Viridiplantae; Streptophyta; Magnoliopsida; Poales; Poaceae
Description: long non-coding RNA (SBIC_LNC006394)
Source: RNAcentral
CUGUGCUGCUUCAUCCCCGGUGGUGGCCCCAGGUAUUACUGGCCCUUGGACCAGACCUGGGGAGCCCGCAGCCGAAGAGGCUCCUGCUCGGGGCGGUGGGGGGACUUCACUCCCCCCGGCAGGAGGAGCGGUCGGAGAUCUUCCCUUCUCUGAGGAGUCAGUUGGGGGAGCCUCUCCAGCCCUGGUCGGGCUGCUUGUUGUAGUCGGCGCCGCGCUCGGGAGCUCCUCGGUGCUCCCAGGCGCGACUGCAGCUGUUGGCUGCUCUGUGGUCUGGGGGGCCGCAUCCCCAGAACCGCGGGCAGGCUCGCCCGUUCCCUGGCUGGCAGUUUGGCCAGGGUCGACAUCCGAUGCCGCACUACAGGGACAGAAGUUAAAAAAAAAAAAAAAAGAGGAGUCCAAAAUACGUAAGUCAAACACUUACAGGUCUGACCGACGGUGGGCCGCGGUGAACCUCCUCCUCGCCCGGCAGGUCGGCACCUGUGCCCCC